AAAUAAGAAAGAAUUACAAUAAAAUACACAUGACUUCAUAUCAUAACAAAAAAUGGCUCAUCUUUUAAGAUUUACCCAACAUAACCUAUAGUGUAUAUAUUUUGAAAAUACUAGCUCUUGCAAAUUCAAAAUUUGUGUUCUUACAAUCGUUGCUUCUAAAAGUUAUGGAGUUAAAUAUGUGCUCUCGCAACCAUUGCUUCACUCUCUCCUCUUCUCACAUUUUUCACAUAUACUUCAAGGGACUGUCCGCCAUUACUGCUUCUCCCCCUAUAUCACCUGGUUGCAAUAAAAAAAAUUAAAGAAUAGAAGUCUACCAUGAAAGGCCAUUCAAAGCUUUGAUUUAGAAAAUAUAAUUUCUUGUAAUUCUUAAUUAUUUGGAUUGGGUAUUGUUUCAAUUGAUUUAAAAUAUUAAAAGGAGUUCAAAGUUUAAAUUUGAAUUGAUUUGGAGUAGAUUUGAGCAAGAUUUGAGUUAUACUUCAGAAAAAACGCAAGGAAGAAGACGAAGUCAGUUUUUUGUAUAAUCUUGUAUAAUAGUGUAUAUGGGUGUAUAAACUUAUCUUAUAUACUUUUACACACCUUUAUACAAACGUCUAUAGACGAACUUCUUCGACGAUUUUCAGUUGCAAUUCUUAUUCAAAACCAGUCCAAAUCUCCAUUAAAUGACUUCAAAUUUUAUAUACAACCUCCUUAUACUCUUUCUAAAAAAUGUAAAUAGCACACACUCCAAAUUACUUACAAAAUCAAAUUUGAAAUUUAAAUUCACAUAUUUAAGCUUGUUAAAAAUCUAAUUUUUACCACCCGGAUGGAUUUGAUUUGUUAAACUAAUAUUUGAGUCAUAGUUAUUGAUUCGAAAAUUAACUUAAAAGCUUGAGCAAUUUUUCUAAAAAAUUAAAUAGUAAUUUUGAGAACCUAUUAGAGUUGAAUAUUGAAUCUUAACCUAUUAUUUUUGGAUUAGUUGGUUGUAAAUUAAGAUAUGAGCUAUAAAAUUGAAAAUGUGGGUGAUCAGAUAUUCUUAUGUGAAAUUCUCCUCGAAGAAUUUCCAUUCAAAGAGAAUAUAUGUAGAGUUCUGAGAGGCGAUAGAAUUUUAUUUUCAAGUAUCUUACGUUGAACUGAAGGUCUCAAAAAAAGAUAAAAACAGACCAAGAAAAAUAGAUAAGGUUAGAGAUGAAAUCAUGAAAUCAGUUAAGUGAAAAUGAAAAUGACUACCAAAAACAUCUCAAAAAGUGGAUUAGAAAAUGAAAAAUGUAGUUUCCACCAUCAACCAAGUCGUUACGAACCAACCGGUCCAAAUUCAGGUUCCGAGGGAGGAGAUCACUGUAGUACAACAAUGUUGUUAAAGUGGAAGCUGGCUGAACCAUCAAUGCACUCAUCGUUCUUGCUACUGAACCAAACAUCAUUGCCGUGACACACUGCAAUAAACAUAUAGAGCUUAAGAAAAAUGAAAAUAAAAAAUUUACACUAUCGAUGUUUUAAUAAUUUUAAAUAUCAAUAAUUAAGUAGCAUAAAAUUCUUUUUGUCUUAUUGAGCCGAGGGUCUUUCGGAAAUAGCUCUUCUACUCCUUUAAAAUAAGUGUAAUGUCUACGUAUACACUACCCUCCCCAGAUCCCACUAGUGAAAUUUCACUAGAUCGUUGUUGUUGUUUCACUGUAUAAGAGUUAACUUAAAACUGAAACCCAACUCCAGACCAGUGCGAAGCUAGAAAUUUUGCUAAAGACAUUCAAGCUUGUUCGAGAUAUAAUAUAUAUAUAUAUAUAUAUAUAUAUAUAUAUUAGAUCGGAAGAGCGUCGUGUAGGGAAAGAGUGUAGAUCUCGGUGGUCGCCGUAUCAUUAAAAAAAAAUAAAUGAGUGUUGCUUAGCCAUAGCAGGUCUGUAUUGAAUUUGCGGGGAGUAGUAGGGGUGGGGUAUUGGGAUUUGGGAAUUUGGGUAGAUGUGUUUGGGCCUAUUAUUAUUUGGAUUUGGAAUUUAUGGGUAAGCCGGUGAAAGGCCAUUUUCAACUUUCUCUUUGUUCUUUCUUCUGGUAUGACUUUCCCAUUUGUCCUCCACCUUUACCUUUACCUUUACCUCUUCUCUUUAUUUGUCUAUUAUUCUUUUUGAAUUUUUGAAAUUAUGGUACUAUGUCCAAAAAUUUGAGAAUAUUGAAUUUUUUACAUUGGGCAAUGGGUAGUCACCGACAGGCUUUCCAAUUUUUUUUUUUAUUUAACUUUUCUAUGUUUGAACUAGGUCAUAAAUAAAGAUGGAUUCAAAAUUUUUAAUUGUUAUUGCACAAGUAUUUUUUUUGAUAAAAUUAAGCAACAAUAUUUAUAUUUCUAUAAAAGUUUUGUUAUAUAUAUAUAUAUGUAUGUAUGUAUAAAAGAUAUAACAACAACAACAAUCCAGUAUAAUCCCACAUAGUAGGAUCUGGGGAGGGUAGUGUGUACGCAGAUCUUACCCCUACCGUGGGGUAGAGAGGCUGUUUCCAAAUAGACCCCCGGUAUCCUUCCCUCCAAAAACUUCCUACCUUGAUCUUGGAGAGACUCAAACUCACAACCUCUCGGUUGAAAGUGGGGGUUGCAUAUGUAUAAAAGAUAUACUCCCUCUGUUUCAACUUAUAGUGUAAAAUGAAGAUAGAAGAGUUGCAUCUGACUGGGCACGGAGUUUAAGAAAAGAUAGAAGAUUUGUGAAUUUAUGGUGUAAAAUGAAACACAUAUAUUUGUGUGGCUGUAAAUCAAUGCAAAAAGGUAAAAUAUUUUCAAACGGGGAAAGAUGUUAUUCUUUUUGGCACGGACUAAGAAAAUAAGUUCACACAGAAGAAAUAUUUAACGUAAAUACAACAAAAGAUGUUCAAUUGGCCAUCCUUGAGCCUAGUGGCCGCUGUACUUCAGACAACGGAAACAUCACAUAGAAUUAAGACUAAUUAAUCUUAAAGAAGAAUAACGAUCGGAGAAGAAGAAUAGCAUACCAUUAUUGGCAUAUAAAAACUCAUACACGAAGCUCUAAGGGUAAAAUUGUUCAAAACUGAUAGAAGGUAAGUGUGCCUUGUGGGGGAAGAUGGGGUUUUUGAUUGGGUUUAUAGUAAAAGACACAGCCAACUAAUCUUGGUAAAAGUGAAACUUAAACGUAGUUUGUUGCAUGUGAAAAGUUGAUUAACGUGAAUCUGCCAAAAGGGAAGCAACUGAUAUCGAG
Molecule: long non-coding RNA, 3161 nt
Filed under: Nicotiana benthamiana
Lineage: Eukaryota; Viridiplantae; Streptophyta; Magnoliopsida; Solanales; Solanaceae
Description: long non-coding RNA (NBEN_LNC031201)
Source: RNAcentral